UUCCUUUUCUUUCUCUUUCUAGAAAACGGAGCCCACAAAUAUUAUUUUCGAGGUUCACGAUCACGCAGCGGCAUUGUCCUCAAAUAAAAUUAUUUAGAGAUCCUCAAAUAAAAUUGUUUGGAAAGGAUGCCUACCAAAAUUUUGUUCCAUUGAUAUCCUCUCUCUUACACGUGUACGGCAUCUACCCGCCCCAAAAAAUCUAUUUAAACCCAUCAUCCUUUUUUUCGUUCACAAUAAUAAUAUCAUUCUUCGAUUCAUCAUCGCUCUCUCUCUCUCUCUCUCUCUAUUUUGUGGUAGCUUUCAUUGUAUUACAAUGGUGUAUCGUGGUGGAUUAUUGCUCAAUCCGACGCUCCACGACGCUCCAAUUGGCGAUCGCCCCAACAACCUGCAGAUUCGGGGGGCCAGCAGGUGCCUCCUCUUGGUCGCCGUCGCCGAGCUCGUGCUGACAGCCACGCUGUUCGACGACGUCGGCCUCAACGCUGGUAACGACUUCCUCAAUCUCUUAAUCCAGUCGCUCUUCGCCGUCGCUGUCGUCGUCGCCUUCAACGUCGCCAUGCUUGCGCUGCUCCUCCCCCUCGCGGCGCCGUUCGCAGAAGCCGUCUCUCCGGCCGUGGCAUCCCGCUUGGAGCGGGCCGCUGCAGUCGGGUCCGUUACGACCCUUCUGCUCGCCACCUCCCUUCUCGUCUCCGUCGCGCUCGUCGGUGAUUAUGCAAAAAGAGAGGCCCUCGGCGAGCUCAGAUAAUAUUGACCUAACAAGUACUGCCACAUCAUUCUUGGUCCGGGCCAGUUAAAGCAAAAAAAAAAAAAAUCUUGCCUGAGUGUAAAUUUUCCCUGGACCAUGUGCGCCACUUCAUCCGUGAACUAAACCCGUCAACUUCCAGCGUAGUGUAGUCCAAGUGGGUCCUCGUGUCGCUGGUUACUUGGUCUGGUCUGUGAACCGGGUCCAAGCAGCAGUUACUUCGUAGUAAGCUUGGGCAUGGACCCAGUUCAAGUCCACCCGAGUGUAUCGUCCAACUACUACAGUUGUCGUUUUGUUAUUAUAUGUCUUUUAUACGCCGGGUGCUGUAAGAUUAUUAUAUGUUUUUUAUUUUAUUUUACAUAUUAAAAUAAAGAAUGUUCGGUUUGUGAUAAUCCUUAUUGUAGCUAUUAUCGUUUUAUUUUAUUUUAUUUUUAUUUUGGGUACGCGUUCUUUCUUUGUGCCCUUUUCAACGAGCGCCGCAAAAGAAAACUGGUCAACGCAAUGGUCCUUCCUUUAGGGCUUCGAUCGAAAUCCGCUCAACUUCUAAACAUACCAUGGCUUGGAAGCUGUCAUCAGAAGACAUAAAGGCUCUUCACUUAUCUAGCAAUAGUUGGAAGCUUUUCGUGUUUAAGUGAUCAACCUUUUCAAGUAUUUUCCUGAGUUUCAACUUCCUGACUUUGAUUCUGCUUGCUUUCGGAGGAAAUCACCACUAGAUUUACUCUCCAUGAUUUGACUUGAUGAAAUAAGAGGUUCAAUCAAAAUUUGUUGUUGAACUUGUCUUCAAUUGUAUCUUCUUGGCGCCAAGAGUUGCAGAAUUCAAGUGGACUAAAUAUGUGAUGCGGUUAGUUCAUUAUUGGAUAGAUCAUGUGCUAAUGGCAAAUUGCAUGAAAAGGUGGAGCAGAAGUUGUUCUGAGGAAGAAUUUUUUGCACACUACAGAGCUCAAGAAGAUUUUUGGGCUGUGCCCAGGUGCUAUGAUGUGUUCACAAGUUCUCUUUGAAAGAUUCUUCUUUUACCAAAUGUAUAGGAUAGGGAUGCAAACAGGGCGGAUCCGGAGACGGGAGGGGACCAUCAUUUCUCGCUCCAUGUCUUGUCAGGUCGGGGCGGAUGCAGGGUGAGUUAAUUUUAAUCCUAUUUUGGACCCCAUUAAUUGCUCUAUUCGGGGCGGAUCGGAACGGGAGCAGAUUUUUUAUGGAUCGGGAUGGAUUAAAGAAAGAAUGGAGUCUCUCGUCUUCCAUUCCAUUUGCUGGCGGAUCAGGGUGGAUUUAGGACGGAUUACACUUGUAGAUUUCGCAGAUAAUGUAAAGGGCUUUAGAACUACACUGUAGCUUGCAGAUACUGCCACAGUCGGGUUAAAACAGAACAUAUUCUUGCACGCGAGACGAAUAUUAUCUUGACAAGCAUGAUACUGCCAACUGGAACAUAAGGAAGCAGUUACACGAUCUUGUUUACUUGUUCUUGAUAGCUCAACCUUGCCAAUCAUGUCACACUAAUGUAGAACACUUUCUACGUACUCCGAGCAAGAGUAACCUUUCUUAGAUUC
Molecule: RNA transcript, 2280 nt
Organism: Ananas comosus (pineapple)
Lineage: Eukaryota; Viridiplantae; Streptophyta; Magnoliopsida; Poales; Bromeliaceae
Exons: 6
Source: RefSeq, a predicted model, not a curated record